This 225-nucleotide ribosomal RNA is filed under the name uncultured bacterium. RNAcentral describes it as "partial 16S ribosomal RNA". It matches the Rfam family "Bacterial small subunit ribosomal RNA", at positions 109 to 334 of the family's 1533-position model. The record is from RNAcentral.
CGGAACACGUACAGAACCUUCCUUUAAGCGGGGAUAGCCCAUAGAAAUGUGGAUUAAUACCCCAUAGUAAUAUUGACUGGCAUCAGUUGGUAUUUAAAGAUUUAUCACUUAAAGAUGGCUGUGCGGCUGAUUAGGUAGUUGGUGCGGGUAAUGGCCCACCAAGCCUUCGAUCAGUAACUGGUGUGAGAGCACGACCAGUCACACGGGCACUGAGACACGGGCCCG